RNAcentral lists this ribosomal RNA (36 nucleotides) under Prospero autumnale (starry hyacinth). The record is from RNAcentral. Lineage: Eukaryota; Viridiplantae; Streptophyta; Magnoliopsida; Asparagales; Asparagaceae.
GGGUGCGAUCAUAUCAGCACUAAAACACCGAAUUCC